AUCUUUUAACAUAUCCUUAUCCUUGACCACAACUUCCAGAACAGAUGACUGCAUCCUGUCCCCAGCAAAAGCAAACACUUCAUUCCAUUCAGGGUUUUUGUUUUUCUCAAAGUGUUUUGUAAUUCCCUUGUAGUUCCCAACUCUUACUUCAACAAAUGGGUCAAGGCUCCCGGUAACAUCCUUGGUAGGAAGAUCACGGGCUUUCACAACUCGUACAAAAAGGUAAUGCAUUUGCUCAACAAGAUCAUAGGUGCUGGCUGGCUUGUCUGCACGUAUAACUCGCCCCCCA
Molecule: long non-coding RNA, 289 nt
Filed under: Vitis vinifera (wine grape)
Lineage: Eukaryota; Viridiplantae; Streptophyta; Magnoliopsida; Vitales; Vitaceae
Description: long non-coding RNA (VVIN_LNC005251)
Source: RNAcentral